GCCGUGGUUCAGGCUCCGUCUUUGCAGGAGUGGGUUUUGGGUUUGGCUGUGGUUGUGGCUUGAUUUCUGGGUCCGGCUUUGCUGGAGUUGGUUUUGGGUUUGGCUGGGGCUUUGGCUGUGGUUGUGGCUUGACUUCUGGGUCCGGCUUUGCUGGGUUUGUCCUAGGGUUAGGUUGCGGGUUGGGCUUUGGGUUCGUCCUGUCGGAAACACCGUCUAGUGAAUACACCGGCAAUGACCCUGACUGAGGUUUAGGCUUUGGCUUUUCCGGAUUUGGCUUUGGGUUCGGCUGGGGCAUUGGCUUUGGUUGUGGCUUGGCGUCUGGGUCCGGCUUUCUUGGGUUUGCCUUAGGGUUAGGGUGUGGGUCAGGCUUUGGGUUCGUCCUGUCGGAACCAAUGUCGUCUAGUGAAUACACCGGCAAUGAGCCUGGCUGAGGUUCAGCCUUUGGCUUUUCAGGAGUUGGCUUCGGGUCAGGCUGAGGCAUUGGUUUUGGUUGUGGCUUGGCAUCUGGGUCCGGUAUUGGGUUGGGUUCCGGCAUUGCAGGAGUCGUGGGCUUUGGGUUUGGGUUUGGGUUUGGGU
Molecule: long non-coding RNA, 576 nt
Filed under: Triticum aestivum (bread wheat)
Lineage: Eukaryota; Viridiplantae; Streptophyta; Magnoliopsida; Poales; Poaceae
Description: long non-coding RNA (TAES_LNC022275)
Source: RNAcentral